UUCCUGAAUAUGUGGAUGGUGAGCCACGUGAAUGGAAGACAUGGAGAUAUGGACUGUUAACACCUUGUCAAACAUUUAUUGUCCCUUCCACCUCUAAACUUCUGUGAUAAUAGGUGAACAGGACCCACGUGGUGCAGAAUACUGCGAUACACACUGCGGAAUAAUUCAGGGACUGGGAGUUGGAGAGGGGAGACUGGAGAGAGUAGGAAGUGCUCCAGAACUUCUGGACUAGCUUUCAUGAUGGAAAAAGUGUUCUCUUCAUACUACCAAGAAACAUGAUGAGCUGAGAUUCCAGCCAUAGUUCUUUAGGAUCCACAGCACGACUUGCAGUAAACGGCGCUAGAAGAAAGAGACAUUAUACAAAUGCAAGCUGUUGUCACAACAAUGAUAAGAAAUCAGGAGUCGAAAGAUGUGGAGUAAGGGGGAAUUUCAGAGAAACCACAAAACACAAAAUAGGAAACAGAGACAGGAGAAGAUUGCUAUGACAAAAUUGCAGAAGGUGAAAUCUUUGGCAGCCUCUUAUUUCUCUGGAGAAUAUGAUAUUGUCAGGCUGAGGUGGAAGAAUCACAUGGUCAUACUGUUGAAGAGGUCUUGAAACAUUGGGCUUUCCUCUACAAGCGGAAGGAUAGCACUGGCAGCCAUCCACUGGCCCAGCAAUAUCCUGGAUUGAGACGAUAUCAUUUGCAUUACUUGCUGAAUGAAACAUAGUGAAAAUGACUGCAGAUAACCUCAACUAAGUCCAAGAUAUCAUUUUCAAAUCUGGACCAGCCCUUGCCAUCUAGACUGAACAGAGAUUCCAGUUUCCAGGAGAGUAGAUGGAGUAAUGAUAAAAGCACCUCCCAAAACUUUUGCCUUGGUACUACAGAGUGGCACAUAACUAAACAUUAUCAAGGAAUUUUACAGCCCUAGGCCUUCUAUUACUGUGUAUUACAGUCUGCUGUAAUCAUUCUAAUGGUCUAAGAUGUUGCAAGUAAUUUACUCACGGCCUGAACACCAGAAGUGCCAAAAUUGCCUGGGAGUUUUAUUCUGCAUCCAACCAGUACCAGGAAGGAGGAUGUAUUACUUCUCGUUUCUCUACAAGUGUCAGUGCAAAUCCAGCCAUCAAACAAAACUUAGACCUAAAAGCUUUUAGAUUACAGCGAUUAUUGCAGAUUUUACAUGAGAUAAAAAUGUAAUUGCUC
Long non-coding RNA from Homo sapiens (human), 1181 nucleotides. Ensembl annotates it as long intergenic non-protein coding RNA 1478. Lineage: Eukaryota; Metazoa; Chordata; Mammalia; Primates; Hominidae. The record is from Ensembl.